Molecule: ribosomal RNA, 465 nt
Filed under: uncultured bacterium
Lineage: Bacteria
Description: partial 16S ribosomal RNA
Rfam family: Bacterial small subunit ribosomal RNA
Source: RNAcentral
GACGAACGCUGGCGGCGUGCUUAACACAUGCAAGUCGAACGGAAAGGCCCCUUUGGGGGUACUCGAGUGGCGAACGGGUGCGUAACACGCGAGUAACCUGCCCCUGACUCCGGGACUACUUUAGGAAACUGGGGCCAAUACUGGAUACGAAUCCUUGCUGCAUGGUGGGGGUUGGAAAGUUUCGUCGGUUUUGGAUGGACCCGCGGCUUAUCGGCUUGUUGGGGUGGUGGUGUCUUACCAAGGCUUGUGCGGGAAGCCGGCCUGAGGGGGCGACCGGCCGCCUUGAGACUGAGGUGCGGCCCAGGCUCCUACGGGUGGCAGCAGUGGGGAAUCUUGCACGAUGGGCGGCGGCCUAAUGCAGCAACGCCGCGUGCGGUAUGACGGCCUUCGGGUUGUAAACCGCUUUCGGCAGGAGCGGAGCUUGUGGUGACGGUACCUGCAGAAGAAGCACCGGCUAACUACGUG